This 460-nucleotide ribosomal RNA is filed under the name uncultured bacterium. RNAcentral describes it as "partial 16S ribosomal RNA". It matches the Rfam family "Bacterial small subunit ribosomal RNA", at positions 338 to 795 of the family's 1533-position model. The record is from RNAcentral.
CCUACGGGAGGCAGCAGUGAGGAAUAUUGGUCAAUGGACGAGAGUCUGAACCAGCCAAGUAGCGUGAAGGAUGACUGCCCUAUGGGUUGUAAACUUCUUUUAUAUGGGAAUAAAAUGUUCCACGUGUGGGAUUUUGUAUGUACCAUAUGAAUAAGGAUCGGCUAACUCCGUGCCAGCAGCCGCGGUAAUACGGAGGAGCCGAGCGUUAUCCGGAUUUAUUGGGUUUAAAGGGAGCGUAGGUGGAUUGUUAAGUCAGUUGUGAAAGUGUGCGGCUCAACCGUAAAAUUGCAGUUGAAACUGGCAGUCUUGAGUACAGUAGAGGUGGGCGGAAUUCGUGGUGUAGCGGUGAAAUGCUUAGAUAUCACGAAGAACUCCGAUUGCGAAGGCAGUUCACUGGACUGCAACUGACACUGAGGCUCGAAAGUGUGGGUAUCAAACAGGAUUAGAUACCCUAGUAGUC